GUAGCCAAUAUAAGGGUCACGGUGAACUGCUUAUAAAUGCUAUUAUGUUGUUCAUCUGUUCACGUUUCACAGAUGUCACUGCCACUCUCACCAGCUCCAUCUUCAUCCCGCCGAGUCCCAUCUUCCUUCUCACCAGCCUGGUAUUUUUGAACGUACAUUUGAAUUGCAACAGUCGGCAUCAAGAUGGUGGGAAAUAGCAGUUGAGAUUUCUCAAUUAGAAGAUUGAAAAGUCUAAGGCUGGACAAACAAACAAACAAUGAGAGGUUAAGCCUGAGUUUGGUCUUCUGUUACUUGGAACUGAAAUAAUGUGCAUUGACACACCUAUCAAGUCAAAGUAUUGUCUUUUGCUGGUCUGCUCUGGUCCUGGAAACAUCCACUGAUAGAAUCACUGGUCUGGGACAAAUUGUGGUACCCAAAGACCUCAGGAAGCACUUAGAAGCAUUACUCCUGAAGUCCCAUUCGUCCCAAGAAGAGUUGCUGGCUGGAGGAGACAAUAUGUAAACAUGUCAUGACAAGAUGGUGUGGUGAGUGCUAUGUUGGCAUGUUGGAGGCAAGCAUAGCCAUGCUCACAGUGAGGAAUGACUUAGGAGCGCAACCACAGCCCCAUGCUGCCUUCCACCAUUUGGAUAAAAGAAGGAAAAUGCCUUCAAAUUGUGAUGUUUACUCUGAUGGAUACCCUGACUGGUCAAUGGGAAGACAGGCCACCACCCCCUCCCCUCUGCUUUCUUCCUGA
Molecule: long non-coding RNA, 733 nt
Filed under: Pan paniscus (pygmy chimpanzee)
Lineage: Eukaryota; Metazoa; Chordata; Mammalia; Primates; Hominidae
Description: lncRNA (ENSPPAG00000044577.1)
Source: RNAcentral